RNAcentral lists this unclassified non-coding RNA (755 nucleotides) under Hevea brasiliensis (rubber tree). Lineage: Eukaryota; Viridiplantae; Streptophyta; Magnoliopsida; Malpighiales; Euphorbiaceae. The record is from RNAcentral.
UUGAGCUCUGGCAGCCAUAGCCAUGGCUUUCUCUUUGUUCACAACUACAUCAACCUUCUCUGUCUCUCUUCGCUGCCAAGCUCGACCCAAUACCAGUCGCAGUAGAACCAACCCAAAGCGCCUGUCUACAAACACUAACAGAAGAAGGCAAAAACCCAAUCCCCCUCAGCGAAAAUCCGGUGAGUUUAGGCCACCAUCGCCAAUUACCACAGCUGCCGGUGAUACUGCCACUACCUUCACUCGUCUACCCCCAAAAGAUGACUUUUUUCUUCCGUCCCUCCAAGAUUCAACUGAAAUGACUCUCUCUGAGUUAACUAUUCCCACCCCAGCUAAGAAUCGUAAGCAAGAGUUGGAUGGUGAAAAUGUAGAGAAUGUAAGAUUUGAUUAUGGAAAAUUCGAGUUGUACGAGGUUGAUGAUGAUAUUGAGGAUGAGAGCGAGGAUGAUUUUGAUGAAAAUGAUGAUGUGGAUGGUCAAAUGGAAGGUACUGGAAGUAGGGUGUUUGAGGGUAUUGGGAAAUUUGAGCUGUAUGAGGUUGACGAUGAGUUUGAUGAAGAUGAUGAUGAGGGCAUUGAAAUGGAAGGUUCUACAAGUGGGGUUUUUGAGGGUGGUGAUGUGUUUGAAGGGGAAGGGAGUGAUAUAAAGGAGAAGGAGAAAGGGGUUCCAGCAGUAAUGAGGUGUUUUGAUAGGGCAAAAAUAUAUGUAAAAGCAGGGGAUGGAGGGAAUGGGGUGGUGGCAUUUAGGAGGGAGAAGUUUG